GAUGAACGCUGGCGGCAUGCCUUACACAUGCAAGUCGAACGGCAGCACGGGAGCAAUCCUGGUGGCGAGUGGCGAACGGGUGAGUAAUGUAUCGGAACGUGCCCAGUCGUGGGGGAUAAUGCAGCGAAAGCUGUGCUAAUACCGCAUACGAUCUAUGGAUGAAAGCGGGGGAUCGCAAGACCUCGCGCGAUUGGAGCGGCCGAUAUCAGAUUAGCUAGUUGGUGGGGUAAAGGGCUCACCAAGGCGACGAUCUGUAGCUGGUCUGAGAGGACGACCAGCCACACUGGAACUGAGACACGGUCCAGACUCCUACGGGAGGCAGCAGUGGGGAAUUUUGGACAAUGGGCGCAAGCCUGAUCCAGCAAUGCCGCGUGCAGGAUGAAGGCCUUCGGUUGUAAC
Molecule: ribosomal RNA, 399 nt
Filed under: uncultured bacterium
Lineage: Bacteria
Description: bacterial SSU rRNA
Rfam family: Bacterial small subunit ribosomal RNA
Source: RNAcentral